RNAcentral lists this ribosomal RNA (492 nucleotides) under uncultured bacterium. RNAcentral describes it as "partial 16S ribosomal RNA". It matches the Rfam family "Bacterial small subunit ribosomal RNA", at positions 29 to 507 of the family's 1533-position model. The record is from RNAcentral.
AGUGAACGCUGGCGGUAGGCCUAACACAUGCAAGUCGAACGGCAGCACAGUAAGAGCUUGCUCUUACGGGUGGCGAGUGGCGGACGGGUGAGGAAUACAUCGGAAUCUACUUUUUCGUGGGGGAUAACGUAGGGAAACUUACGCUAAUACCGCAUACGACCUACGGGUGAAAGCAGGGGAUCUUCGGACCUUGCGCGAGUGAAUGAGCCGAUGUCGGAUUAGCUAGUUGGCGGGGUAAAGGCCCACCAAGGCGACGAUCCGUAGCUGGUCUGAGAGGAUGAUCAGCCACACUGGAACUGAGGCACGGUCCAGACUCCUACGGGAGGCAGCAGUGGGGAAUAUUGGACAAUGGGCGCAAGCCUGAUCCAGCCAUACCGCGUGGGUGAAGAAGGCCUUCGGGUUGUAAAGCCCUUUUGUUGGGAAAGAAAAGCAGCAGGUUAAUACCCCGCUGUUCUGACGGUACCCAAAGAAUAAGCACCGGCUAACUUCGUG